GGUUUUCGACAUCACAGACGUUGACAGCUUCCAGAGAGUCAAAAAGUGGGUCAGGGAGCUAAAGAAGAUGGCCGGGAAGGACAUAGUGCUGGUGGUGGCCGGCAACAAAAUAGACAGAGAAAGGGAGCGGCAGGUGCCG
RNAcentral lists this small nuclear RNA (139 nucleotides) under uncultured Pyramimonas. RNAcentral describes it as "partial Dictyostelium signal recognition particle". Lineage: Eukaryota; Viridiplantae; Chlorophyta; Pyramimonadophyceae; Pyramimonadales. The record is from RNAcentral.